UUGAGUUGUAGUUCUGUUAUUAUAGAUGGGUGUUGUCUCUCAGAUCACCUAGAUUGUAAUCACCUGAGGGCACAGGUGGGCUCUUGCCUAGCACAAAGUUGAGCACACAGGAAAUACUAAUUAAAUACACAUGGGAGUAAGGACUGGGCUCUGGGCUUCAUCAUCUUAUCCAGAGACUGUUUGGAGUUGACUUUUUGUCUCCACAGAAGUCCAGCUCUGUAACCUAUUAGAAGAUAGAGCACUUUGGACAUUUUGAUUAGCCCUGAGCUGACUGCUGCCAAUCUCCCUCUUUUUGCUGAGGAAGACUGGCUCUGAGCUAACAUCCGUGCCCAUCUUCCUCUACUUUAUAUGUGGGACACCUUCCACAGCAUGGCUUUCCACGUGGUGCCAUGUCCGCAGCCGGGAUCCAAACCAGCGAACCCCAGGCCGCUGAAGUGGAAUAUGUGAACUUAACCACUGAGCCACCGGGCCGGCCCUAACGCUUGCUUUUGACAGCUAUUGCUGCAAAACAAACCACCACAAAACUCAGUGGUUUAAAACAGCAAUUAUUUGUUAUUGCUUAUAUAUCUGCUGGUAGGCCUAGGGUCAAGUGAUGUAGGUUAAGUUCUCCUGGGUGGCUCUCCUCUAUUCAAUGGUUCUGGCUGGAGUUGACUUUACUGGGGUCUAUUCUAUGUGUGUUUAUUCAGAGGCAUAGACCAGAGGGUGGGUGAGCAGCAGUUACACAGAGGAUUUCUGCUCAUGGAGAUGGCAAAAAUGCAUGAGGGCUAGGAGAAAAACUGAAGACUCUAAGGCUUAGCCUUGAAAAUAUCAUACAUUUGGUUCUUGUUUAUUCUAUUGGCCAAAGCAAGUCAUAAGGCCAAACCCAAAGUCAAGAGGGAGAGCAAUAUACUCCACAAAUUUAAUGGGAGGAAUUGCAAAGUCUCUUGGCAAAGAGUGUGGAUACAGUGAGACGUGAAGAAUUGCAGCCAUUCAUGUAAUCUAUCACAACAGAUUUUUUUUCCUUUUUUUGUCAUUUUAGUUAUGGUAUAGUGAUAAAAUAUUGUGUUUUUAAUUUACAUUUCUCUGAUGACAAAUGAAGUUGAGAACUUUUUUGAUAUAUUUUUGUCCAUCUGUAUACCUUUGUAAAGGGUUGUUCCACAUCCUUUGCCCAUUUAAAAGCUUGAGUUGUCUCCCUUUUUCUUACUGAUAUGUAGGA
This 1195-nucleotide long non-coding RNA is filed under the name Equus asinus (donkey). RNAcentral's name for it is "lncRNA (ENSEASG00005024695.1)". The record is from RNAcentral. Lineage: Eukaryota; Metazoa; Chordata; Mammalia; Perissodactyla; Equidae.